CGAACGCUGGCGGCGUGCUUAACACAUGCAAGUCGACCGGAAAGGCCCUGCUUUUGUGGGGUGCUCGAGUGGCGAACGGGUGAGUAACACGUGAGUAACCUGCCCUUGACUUUGGGAUAACUUCAGGAAACUGGGGCUAAUACCGGAUAGGAGCUCCUGCUGCAUGGUGGGGGUUGGAAAGUUUCGGCGGUUGGGGAUGGACUCGCGGCUUAUCAGCUUGUUGGUGGGGUAGUGGCUUACCAAGGCUUUGACGGGUAGCCGGCCUGAGAGGGUGACCGGCCACAUUGGGACUGAGAUACGGCCCAGACUCCUACGGGAGGCAGCAGUGGGGAAUAUUGCACAAUGGGCGGAAGCCCGAUGCAGCAACGCCGCGUGCGGGAUGACGGCCUUCGGGUUGUAAACCGCUUUCGCCUGUGACGAAGCGUGAGUGACGGUAAUGGGUAAAGAAGCACCGGCUAACUACGUG
Molecule: ribosomal RNA, 466 nt
Filed under: uncultured bacterium
Lineage: Bacteria
Description: partial 16S ribosomal RNA
Rfam family: Bacterial small subunit ribosomal RNA
Source: RNAcentral